RNAcentral lists this ribosomal RNA (1375 nucleotides) under Limosilactobacillus fermentum. RNAcentral's name for it is "bacterial SSU rRNA". It matches the Rfam family "Bacterial small subunit ribosomal RNA", at positions 74 to 1436 of the family's 1533-position model. The record is from RNAcentral. Lineage: Bacteria; Bacillati; Bacillota; Bacilli; Lactobacillales; Lactobacillaceae.
UUGAUUUNGGNYGCCAACGAGUGGCGGACGGGUGAGUAACACGUAGGUAANCUGCCCAGAAGCGGGGGACAACAUUUGGAAACAGAUGCUAAUACCGCAUAACARCGUUGUUCGCAUGAACAACGCUUAAAAGAUGGCUUCUCGCUAUCACUUCUGGAUGGACCUGCGGUGCAUUAGCUUGUUGGUGGGGUAACGGCCUACCAAGGCGAUGAUGCAUAGCCGAGUUGAGAGACUGAUCGGCCACAAUGGGACUGAGACACGGCCCAUACUCCUACGGGAGGCAGCAGUAGGGAAUCUUCCACAAUGGGCGCAAGCCUGAUGGAGCAACACCGCGUGAGUGAAGAAGGGUUUCGGCUCGUAAAGCUCUGUUGUUAAAGAAGAACACGUAUGAGAGUAACUGUUCAUACGUUGACGGUAUUUAACCAGAAAGUCACGGCUAACUACGUGCCAGCAGCCGCGGUAAUACGUAGGUGGCAAGCGUUAUCCGGAUUUAUUGGGCGUAAAGAGAGUGCAGGCGGUUUUCUAAGUCUGAUGUGAAAGCCUUCGGCUUAACCGGAGAAGUGCAUCGGAAACUGGAUAACUUGAGUGCAGAAGAGGGUAGUGGAACUCCAUGUGUAGCGGUGGAAUGCGUAGAUAUAUGGAAGAACACCAGUGGCGAAGGCGGCUACCUGGUCUGCAACUGACGCUGAGACUCGAAAGCAUGGGUAGCGAACAGGAUUAGAUACCCUGGUAGUCCAUGCCGUAAACGAUGAGUGCUAGGUGUUGGAGGGUUUCCGCCCUUCAGUGCCGGAGCUAACGCAUUAAGCACUCCGCCUGGGGAGUACGACCGCAAGGUUGAAACUCAAAGGAAUUGACGGGGGCCCGCACAAGCGGUGGAGCAUGUGGUUUAAUUCGAAGCUACGCGAAGAACCUUACCAGGUCUUGACAUCUUGCGCCAACCCUAGAGAUAGGGCGUUUCCUUCGGGAACGCAAUGACAGGUGGUGCAUGGUCGUCGUCAGCUCGUGUCGUGAGAUGUUGGGUUAAGUCCCGCAACGAGCGCAACCCUUGUUACUAGUUGCCAGCAUUAAGUUGGGCACUCUAGUGAGACUGCCGGUGACAAACCGGAGGAAGGUGGGGACGACGUCAGAUCAUCAUGCCCCUUAUGACCUGGGCUACACACGUGCUACAAUGGACGGUACAACGAGUCGCGAACUCGCGAGGGCAAGCAAAUCUCUUAAAACCGUUCUCAGUUCGGACUGCAGGCUGCAACUCGCCUGCACGAAGUCGGAAUCGCUAGUAAUCGCGGAUCAGCAUGCCGCGGUGAAUACGUUCCCGGGCCUUGUACACACCGCCCGUCANANNRUGAGAGUUYGUAACACCCAAAGUCGGURGGGU